This 490-nucleotide ribosomal RNA is filed under the name uncultured bacterium. Its description in RNAcentral is "partial 16S ribosomal RNA". It matches the Rfam family "Bacterial small subunit ribosomal RNA", at positions 30 to 507 of the family's 1533-position model. The record is from RNAcentral.
AUUGAACGCUGGCGGCAGGCCUAACACAUGCAAGUCGAACGGUAACAGGAAGAAGCUUGCUUCUUUGCUGACGAGUGGCGGACGGGUGAGUAAUGUCUGGGAAACUGCCUGAUGGAGGGGGAUAACUACUGGAAACGGUAGCUAAUACCGCAUAACGUCGCAAGACCAAAGAGGGGGACCUUCGGGCCUCUUGCCAUCGGAUGUGCCCAGAUGGGAUUAGCUAGUAGGUGGGGUAACGGCUCACCUAGGCGACGAUCCCUAGCUGGUCUGAGAGGAUGACCAGCCACACUGGAACUGAGACACGGUCCAGAGUCCUACGGGAGGCAGCAGUGGGGAAUAUUGCACAAUGGGCGCAAGCCUGAUGCAGCCAUGCCGCGUGUAUGAAGAAGGCCUUCGGGUUGUAAAGUACUUUCAGCGGGGAGGAAGGGAGUAAAGUUAAUACCUUUGCUCAUUGACGUUACCCGCAGAAGAAGCACCGGCUAACUCCGUG